UCGAUCGAAUUUCUAGUCGCAAUUCUCUGUCUGUCCCUCGGCUCUGGGGAGAAAGGGGGGGGGCUGUGGCGUGGGGGCUGAGGAGGGGCUAAGGCGGGAGGGGCUCCUCAUCCCCUCACCCUCCCUUUUCGCCUUGUGGGGGCCCUGAGCGCCGCCCCAGAAGGGAUCGCGGGAAUGUUGUGGGCUGGGGCACAACGGCGGGGCAGAAACUGGAGGAAGCGAGAGACGUCGCCAGGGACCCAGGGACCUCUCCCUCCAGUUUCCCCGCCCGCCCGGGCCCGCUCGCCACUCCCGCUAUCGCGCCCACCCUGUCCCGGGCCGUCCCGCGCCAGCAGCGUAGCCCCAGCCCGGGCGCCCGAACGCUCUCCCUCCGCAUCACUGCUCGGGUCCCCACUUUGGCGACCGUGCCCCCGAGUCCCGCUUUCCCCGGGCCUGAUCUGGAUCGGGCGCCUGCGCCUUCAAGGGUACCCGGCUCCCUUGCCCUCCUCAAGGGCCGAGUUUGCGCCCUUCCCGGAAUCGUUUGCGAGAAGGACAAACUUUUGAGCGGAUAGAAAUCUAGUCUAGAGGAGCUGGUUGGCAGCAGACAAUUCUUCUGCACUCCCAGCCAUCUGCAAGCCACCGUCAGCCUGUCCCUGCUCCUGAAAAUGGAAUUGCUGAUGCCCUCAAGGCUGUUACUCUCCCAGGAACACCACCGAUUAGCCAGACCCACCACCAUCCACAUCUGCUCCGCAAAGAAGGAAGGCAGCUUGUUCCAGAGGUUGGUGAGCGGCUGCAGCCUGCCUGCCUAGAACAGCCUCCUUACUCCAGCCUGGCAGGGAAGGAAUGAACCUGACUCGCUUCGCAGGAUACGGAAUCUCAGCAGGCAGAGCUGAGAGCCACAGCUGCAUCCCAGAGCCUGAUGGCUAGAAGCAGCUUCUGUCUUCGGGUUCUCCCUGCUGCCUCGGCCUCUGCACUGUUCAGUUUGCUGUUGUGUUUUUCUCCCUCGUGUUGGGGUGGUGGGGUACAGGGAAAUGAGAUGUUUUCUCCCAAGCCCCUGAUGCUUCCCCAUGCCUCCACCAGCCUCAGAGCUGCUGACAGUAAUGAACUGCAGCUUCCAGCCCUUCCCAUAAGCUACUCACAGCAAAUUCAAAUUCUCUUCUGGGCAGAAGGAAGGGCAGAUGCUCCCUUCCUUCUCAAGCCUCCCUGGCUCAUUGAUCCAUUUUGAGGGCAUUUGAGGGUCAAAAUUGAGACCAGAUUGCUUCGGUUGAUAUAAAAUUAGCAUUUCUUAUCACACCAAAGGCCACACCUGUUCUCUGGCCUCACAAACCAGUGAGGAUGUGAAGGUUUGUUGAGGUGGAGGAAUAGAAGCGAAAUGAACAAUCGGCUCCAUUUAGAAGUCAGUCGCUUCAGCAGCUCAUUCCACUAAUAUUUAUCUAGUACCUACUCUGUGCCAAGCAUUGUCUCUACCUCAGUUUGCCCCAGCUAUAAAAAAAAAAAAAAAUCCUUGCCACUAUGAGGCUUCACUGUGUUGUGGACCAAUAUACAAAUAAACUAAUGGAAAAGAAA
Molecule: RNA transcript, 1545 nt
Organism: Saimiri boliviensis boliviensis (Bolivian squirrel monkey)
Lineage: Eukaryota; Metazoa; Chordata; Mammalia; Primates; Cebidae
Source: RefSeq, a predicted model, not a curated record